RNA transcript from Camelus dromedarius (Arabian camel), 7810 nucleotides. It is a transcript of the gene named actin-related protein 3B-like, with no coding region annotated. The transcript has 5 exons. The record is from RefSeq and is a predicted model, not a curated record. NCBI's taxonomy places the organism in Eukaryota, Metazoa, Chordata, Mammalia, Artiodactyla, Camelidae.
CGCCGCGGCCGCGCGAGGCGUUUGGUGUCGGCUGCGGGCCGUCCCGCCAGGGCCCUCUGACGUGCUGCGUGUGCACAGGUGGCUGCGCGGUGCCCGUCAGUGCGCCGCCCGUGGCGGGGUCUGUGUUCGGGAACGGGUGUGUUUGUGGCUGCAGUUGCCGCAGUUCGUCCCGGCCCUCCAGACCUCCCCAGCCCCACUCUCGGCCUCGUGGUCCUGGCAUGCCCGCUGCUUCUGCCCCGGAUGCUUCCUCUGGGCUCCGUCCCCAACACGUCCACGUCACGCCUGCUGCCUUAGUCCUGCAGAAAUCCUGCGCUUUGGAUUUGUGCCACCUUCUGUAAGUUGAAAGCUUCUGGACCAAGUGCGGCAGUGAGAUGGAGUCAGAAGAGGAGGUAUUGCCAUCAGAGAGUCAGCAAAAGUGGUUGACCAAGCCAAAAGGAGGGUGCUGAGGGGAGUUGAUGACCUGGACUUUUUCAUAGGGGAUGAAGCCAUAGAUAAACCCACGUAUGCCACAAAGUGGCCAAUAAGACAUGGAAUAAUUGAAGACUGAGAUCUAAUGGAGAGGUUCAUGGAACAAGUUAUUUUUAAUUUUCCCUGAGCUGAACCUGAGGGCCAUCACUUUUUGAUGAGUUUUAGAAUUAAGACUCUCAUCCUCAGAAACCUUCCUAGCAGAUUUGCCCUGUCUGUCCGUGCCCAGUGUGGGCCCUAGAGGGGAACAAAAUUACUUUGGUACAUUUUGAUGAGUCAAGAUUCUCUCCUGUUGCUGGUGAGGGGACCACAUCUCAUCACCUGGCCCCAAGAGCAGAGGGAGCUGAGUCAAGGUGCUGUUUUGCCAAGGUUAAAUCUCACAGUAACACUGAGCUGAGUUACAGGCCCUGAUAUUGUGGAUGUAAUUGAUCUUGUUCAGAUGAAAUAAAAUAAUACAGAGAAAUGAAGAGAAGUGUCUCUUGGUUGUGGAGCCUGUUUUCAUUGUUUUAUGUUCUUUUUAAGUUAAAAUUAAUUACAUGUAUAAAACACUUACUUUAAGGAGAGCAAUUGCAUGUAACAUAAGCUGCACAUUAAAACCUACAUAAUUUAGCUUUGCAUUUUUUCCAUGCUAGUGCAUUGUCAAAUGGUCCCUGAUCCAAUUAUAUAAUUCUUCCUAAUGUUAAAUAUGGAAUAUUCUUUAGAAUUAUCUGGCUUAAAAUAUGUUAAGUACAAGGCUGUUAUGGUAGUUAGUGGAAUCUAUAUAUUUUGUGUCUAUUAAAUCAAGUCCUUGAAAGUGCUCUAAGCUUUUUCCUGGCUGUAUCUUUACAACUAGGAAUUGCCACGUCCAAGUAAUGUGUUUUACAGGCCACUGUGUAUUUUCUCUCCUGUGUAUCUACGAUGGUUUAUGUAAAAUACAUGGAGCCAGGAAACUGACAGUAUGUCUGAGUGGCUUUGUCUUUACAGCCAAAACAAAUUACAGACUCCCACCUGCCAUGCUUGGCAUGUUCCCUUCUCUCAUACGUCACAUAACUACCUGUUGAUAGGACUCCAGGCAUGGGCCUGGGGCCCAGCUUCCUCUCCCUGCCUGCCCCAUCCUGCUCUGCUCAGAGGGAGUCUGAGUCUUAGGCCUGUGGAGCAAAUGCAAUCACCAGGACACAGCCCACAGGAAAUUUUUCCUACCAGGAAUUUUUCUGCUCUAGCUGGCAUAUACACCGCAGUACAAUAAAACCAAUUGCUGGGAACGAACUGGUGGUGUUUGGUAUGAAUAUGGAAAAGCUUAAGUCCUUUGCCAAAAAUGAGUAUCUGAAGAGAAUUUUCAAAAAUAAUUGUUUAUUACAUUAAACAUAAGAAAAUAUUGUGUUACAUUUAUUGUACUUUGAAGUUAGCAGGUGUGUUUGCUGCAUGAUGUGACAGAGGAAGUUAUGAGAAUGGUGGUUUUAUCUCAGGCUUAUGUCCUUCCUCAUCAGUUAAUGGGAUAAUUGAAGGGGAGUGAAGCAGGUACAGGGAUUUGUGGCCAUGUCCAGAAAUUCAUUGAAGACAUUUACUGAACCACUACAUCAGCUAAUGGCUUCUUGGUGUAAAAGAGUCUAAAAGUUUUAAAUUAAAGUUCCCUCAGUAGCCUAUGAAAUUGUCCCUUCUGACUGCCAUGACAGACAUCUGCACAUCCAUGGUGGGAAUGAGCUCAGUAGGGCUCAUGUUUUUCAAGAAGUUUCAGAGACUCAACUCAUGUUGGUCACGUGGACUAAACAGAUAGCAAAUGGGAACCACACUCUUUUCUCUAAUACUGAAUUGCCCAGAGUUCAAGACAGAAUCAUAUAUUCUAAAGAACUGCAGUGCUCUUGAAGGGAAAUUGAAUUGUAACUGUAGAGGAGAUUUGCAAACCUUUUUGAAUAUGAAUCAGGGGAGGAAGAGCAAGCAGCAGUGCUGCCCAAGGAUGCUGGGAACCAGGAGCUCUGCCAUCCACCUGAGAGCAGGAAAGAUGUGUGUCCCAGCUCAGGGAUGGAGGAUCAUCCUUCCUUCAUCCUUUUGUUCCAAUCAAGUCCUCAGUAGCCUGUGUGCUGCAUACCCACAUUGGCAAGGGCAGGUCUCCUUACUCAGUCUGCUGCAUGCUAAGCUCUUCCAGAGACACCCUCUCAGACACACCCCAGAAAGAAUGGUUUACCAGCUCUCGGGGUACCACUUAGCCCAGUCAAGCUGACACAUAAUAAUCACCAUGACAUGUGGCUUGUCCUGGCUUACCGCAAUAACUCCCUUCCUGGUUCAUGAGGGUGGCUCAGACCUGCUCUGUCCUGUACACUAGCACUGGCCGGUGUGGAGCUGGACAUCCUUGGCGCUGCUGAGUCUGUUACUGCUGGCCCGUGUUCUUCCCAUUUUCAGUAUAUUGUCAUCUCCACUCCUACUUGCCCUUCCUUGAGGAUUUAUGUUUUUAAAAAUGUUUCUUUACUGCAGUUAUGGAGAGGUUUGGGACUGGAGCAAUAUUAGUUGCAUGUGUUCAGCUUGCUUUCUUUAUCCAGAAAUAUGGAUUGAUUUUUAUAGUACUGACUAAUUAUUCAUUUUUGAAUUAAUACUUGAUGAUAUUUUACCAUUAUUAUGAAUAAAAUGCUUAUGUAACUUGCAUUCAUGUGAAGUUUUAAUCAUAUACUUCAGUAUUUAAAAAAUAAGAAAAACUUGAUAUCUCCAAUUUAGAUCUCGUUAUAUAUAAAUAAUGGUUUUUGGAAGGUUUUAUUUAAAUUAGUCCUCUAAAGGAACAAUUACUGGUGGUAAACAUAGGAGAAAAGGAGGAUUGAGGAAAACAUAGAUUUAUGAUUAUGGUUCUGAGAACCCAGAAGAAUGUGUCUUUAAUAAUGCUGAAUUUGAUUCAGGAGCCAGGAGAACCUAAUUUUAUUGUAAACUUUCUCUUAAUGGAAGUGUAUAGAUUUUAAUGUUAGUUCUUCACAGAUGGUGAAUUGUUUGGCAGCAAGUACUAAAGUGUAAAAAUCAGUGAUUUAAGCAAGUUAAAGGUUUUAUUUUUCUUAAAGUCAUUUGUAGCAGGGAGGGCAGUGCUGGUAUGUCAGGUUUCUGGUGUCAUUAGGGUUCUGUGUGCUCUAGUAUAUUUAGCAUAUGGCUUCCAUUCUAAGAUUGCCUUAGAUCACAAGUUAGCUGCUGCAGCUCCAGUCAUCACCUCCAUAUUCCAGGAAAGAAGGAGUUAAGAGCAGAAGUGGGCCUACUACAUGAGUCUACCUUCAACCUUGUAAGGAGCUUUCCCAGAAGACACAUCCAAUAACUUUUGCUUCUUAUUGGCCAGAACUUACUUAGCCAUCCCUGUACACCAGGAAGUCUGGGAAAUGCUGUUUUCUGGGCCUGUGAUUGAUCAGUGGUCUGUCAUUAAGGCAGAAGGCAGAAUAGAUACUGGGUAGGGAAAUUGCAGUGCCUGCCAUAAGAUGUGACUACAGGUAUGAAGACUGGCAGAUCAAGAAUUCAGCUGUCUUCACAACUGUGGUUGGAUAUGGAAAGUGUUUUCCACGUUACAGAGCCAACAGGCUAGGGAAAAGCCACACCAGGAUGUGCUGUGGCUUCUGCCCUGGGGUGAAGUCUUUCUUCUGUUAGCUUCUCUGCCUGUGGAGAAAUAAACCAGGAAGUUGUAUUGGGAGUUUCUGUGGCCUUCACACACAGGCUGUAACUCAGGGCUUCACAACUCUUGUAAUGAAUUUUUUUUUCUUAUUAUAGAACUAUAAGUGCGAUUUAGAAAAUUUGGAAGAUUCUUGUGGGGCUUUUCACACUCCUAUCCCAUUAUCAUAAAUAUUAACAUUUAGUAUAGCUAUACUUAAUCUUUUCACUCAUGUUUUUAUAUGAUUUUGCAUUCAAUAUUGUGUCCUCCAUCCCUCUCCCCCAUUUUCUUGCACGGUUUUCAUAAUCCUCGCUUUAAUGGUCAUGCAAUCAUGUAUCCAGUGGUUGUUUCCUGUCUGUUUAGCAGCCCCACUAUUUUUAGAUGUUUACUUUUGUUUCCAGUUUCUUGGUUUUGUAAGACAUAACAUAAAUUAAUAUUUGCACAUUUUUUUCUAUAUUUAGAGCAUUUUUAUAUUAAGAAUAUAAAAAUUAUAUAUAUAUAUAUAUAAUUUUAAGGUCCAGAUGUGUUAAUAAUUUUGAAUCUCUGGUAUACCAUUUCACACUGAAAUCUUCAAUGUACAAGAAGCCACAUUAUUUGAACUCUUAGGAUUGAUUAAUAUCAUUUUUGAUUAUUUGACUUUUUAAUUUGCAGUUUGAAUACCUUUGAUCUUAAACAGUUUUUCAUGUAUUUAUUAGUUGUAUUUUCUCCUUUGUGAAUUGCCUAUUCAUGUCCUGGGUUUUGUACAUAUCAGUGUUUUAUUGCUUUUAUUGUUGCUAUGAUUUCUUUGAACUUUAUUCUACUUAAAUUUUUCUUUUGUGAUAAAAUGCACAUACCAUAAAAUUUAUCAUUUUAACCAUUUCUGAAUGUACAGUUUGGUGAGUUGCGUACAUUGACAUUGUUGUGCAACCAUCACCACCAUCCAUCUCAGGAACUUCUUCAUCUUCCAAACUGAAACUCUGUCCACAUUAAAGAAUAACUCUCUUUCCCCCUCUCCCAGCCCUAGCCCCCACCAUCCCCCCUCUGUCUCUAUGACUGUAAGUAUUCUGGGUCCUCAUAUAAGUGGAAUCAUCCAGUAUUAGUCCUUUCAUGACUGGCUUAUUUCACUUGGUAUAAGGUCUUCAGGGUUCAGCCACAUUGUAGCAUGUGUCAGAAUUUCCUUCCUUUUUUAGGGCUGAAUAAUAUUCUGUUGUAUGUAUGGCCACAAUCUGUUUAUGGUGUGAACUCUUUCAUAUAACAGAUAAGAAUUUUUUGUCAUAAGCAGAUACUUUUUCUCACUUGAUUUUUUGUAGGUUAUGUUUUUGAACAUCUAUAAUUGUAAAUUUUUAUGUAAGUAAACCUACUUUCCUUUGAUGUUUAUAUAUAUUUUUCAUUCAUCUGGGAUUUAUUUGGAACAUCACUUGACACUGAAAUUAAACCCAGGAAGAAUCCAGAGCCAGGGUUAAUCUACUUCUUGUUGGAAUGCCUUCUAUAGGCUCACAUUUUUUUUUAAACCAGGCAGGAAGGAAACAUUGCAUGACUAUGCUCCCACUUUGCAUACCUUUCUAGCCUUCCUCUCUUCAUCCUAUUCCCCCCUCUAAUCAGUUUAAAUGUUAUGUUUAUAAAAUUAACUUAUUAAGGUGCUUGGAUUCCUCUUCAAGGUAAGAGAAGACUCUAGGUCUCUGGAGUUAAUACAUUCAAUUUCUUCUGGCCUGAGAUAUAUUCUUGAUAUUACAGUUGAUUGUUGAUAUAUUCAGCACUUGCUAAAGGCCCAGCCCUCUCCCCACCAAGCAUUUGCAUGAAUUAACUCACUUAUUUAAUCCCACAGACAAUUGUGUGGUAGGUAGUUAUUAGGCCUGUUUUUCAGGUUGGAUAGGAGGUGCCAUAAGGAGAUAUAUUGUAACCUAAAUAUUGGAAUCCACAGCUAUUCUUCAUGUGCUUUAAAUGAAAGAAAACUAAAAAAAAAAAUCUGAUAUAGUAAACACUAACACAGUUCUAAAUGUGUACUGGGAACAUUAAGGUAUUAACUAAUUUGAUCUCAGCCCCUUGAGGUAGGCACAUUAAAAUAAGUAAUGUGUUGUUGAAUAACGUUUAGAUCAUUUACUUACAAUCUGCUUUUGAUGACUUUAUUAUUUCUUGUCUAUGUCUUAAGAUUGCUUUCUCUCUCCCAUUCAGGGAGUGUAUUGAUUCUAAUCAGAGUAAUUAAAACUUACUUGGGGCAUGAUGUUUGAGCUUUGUAUCAGACAGGAGUAUAAACUAAAGCCCCCAGCUAGUUGAUAGCCAGAUUUGAUUAUUUGCUUGAAGAGUUAGCAUACACACAGCACAGAAUUCAAAAGGUGCAGUACGAUUUCCAGUGCAAGAGUGUCUCUUUCCCACUUCUGUGUUGCCUUCCAGAUCCCCUUCCUGGAGGAAACCAACUUUACUGGUGCUUAACCAGCAAUAAUUAUGUGCAGGCACAUGGAUUAUACAUAAACUUGAUUCAUAAAAUGGUAACAAAAUUGACAUACUAUGGUACAUUUUGAUUUUUACUUUAAAAAUUUUAGAAAUUAUAAUUUGAAAUAUAUGAAAUUUACCCACUUAACACAGUUUUAAAUGUAUCAUUUGGUAACGUUACCUACAUUGAUAUUGUGAUGUAACAGAACUCUAGAACUUUUCCAUCUUGCAAGAUCAAAACUUUGUGCCCAUAAACAGCUCCUCAUUUCUCUCCCUCAUACACCUUGCUUUUUUAAAAAAAUGUUGUAGAUACAGAAGUAUAUUUAAGAAUGUGUAUGUAUGGAGAGGCCUCUUUUCAUGUAGCAAAUUUAUAGUAGAUAUUGUUUCAUAUCUGCAGACACACUGCCCAUCCUUUUUAAUUGCUGCAAAGUGUUACAUUUUAUGGAUGUGACCUAAUCUGUGUAAUCAGUUCCUUGUUAUGUGCAGUUAUGUUUUUCUGAUCUUGGAAGCUGUGACAACUGUGCACCUCUCUGAGGCACCUUGUUUUAGAUGUCCCUUGGCUUGACAAUGGAAUUUGAUUUUGUCUCAUAGUCUUUGUUCAGAGACUUUCUCUUCAGUAGGUGAGUUUUUCACUGGUACAUGCUGAUGAUUUUAGUGAUAAUAAUGCACUUUCACUGAGUACAUUCCCCAUCCCAGGUGCUGCCAUGAGCACUUUGUUUAGACUCCUGUGAAGUCAGUGCUAAUUAUGCAUGGAGAGAGGAAAUCACUUUCCAAACUUGGUAAAAUCGAAGGUGGGGUGUAGCUGGGCUGAUUGGAGUUGGAGCUCUCCCGUUGCCCGUGCUGAAAUGGCCUGGGCUGUAUGGCAGGUGUGUGUGGUCACAGCUGCUUUUCUGGUGCUGUGCUUUCUGGUUUUAGUGUGUUUUAUUUAUGUAUGGAUAUUUUAAAACUCAGGCUUGGCUUUCUCUUUGGUUUCUAUUGGGUGCAUAUUCGUUCUGAUAAUUGGUAAAACAUAUUUUAACAUAACUGUACUUUUGUAUAAGAUAUUUACCUGUAUUUGUUUAGGGAUGAUUACUUCCUACUGUGCUUAGUGACCACGUUGGUACAUGGCCACAUUUCUUACCUCCUCCUCCUUUCUUCUAUCACCUGCUUUUGAUUGUUUAUGUUAGUGAACUUACUCUGAUAUUUAUGUUUGUGACUUUAUGUUUACUGGUGUCUCUGCUGCUCUACCAAGAAAACAAUAUCUUUUGAUUCCAUGACACAAGGGCAUCAGUGUCUUUAUAUUUUCCUCCUUUCCAUCUGUGCCUGUCAACUUGAUACUACUCCUGUUGUUUUAAUUUAUAAUAUUUACAU